This 376-nucleotide ribosomal RNA is filed under the name uncultured organism. Its description in RNAcentral is "partial 16S ribosomal RNA". It matches the Rfam family "Bacterial small subunit ribosomal RNA", at positions 527 to 896 of the family's 1533-position model. The record is from RNAcentral.
GUAGGUGGCAAGCGUUGUCCGGAAUUAUUGGGCGUAAAGCGCGCGCAGGCGGUUCGUUUAAGUCUGAUGUGAAAGACCCACGGGCUCAACCGUGGAGGGUCAUUGGAAACUGGAGAACUUGAGUACAGAAGAGGAAAGCGGAAUUCCACGUGUAGCGGUGAAAUGCGUAGAGAUGUGGAGGGAACACCAGUGGCGAAGGCGGCUUUCUGGUCUGUAACUGACGCUGAGGCGCGAAAGCGUGGGGAGCAAACAGGAUUAGAUACCCUGGUAGUCCACGCCGUAAACGAUGAGUGCUAAGUGUUAGGGGGUUUCCGCCCCUUAGUGCUGCAGCUAACGCAUUAAGCACUCCGCCUGGGGAGUACGGCCGCAAAGGCUG